Molecule: long non-coding RNA, 577 nt
Filed under: Mytilus galloprovincialis (Mediterranean mussel)
Lineage: Eukaryota; Metazoa; Mollusca; Bivalvia; Mytilida; Mytilidae
Source: RNAcentral
UGUUCAAAUACAUGACGAAACUUUAAGAAAUUCAUGGAAACUCGCCGUUGUCGAAGAACUCGUAAAAGGAGAGGAUAAUCUUAUCAGAACUGUAAAACUUCGCACUAAAAACGGAACCACCAACCGCCCAAUCAUGAAAUUAUACCCAAUCGAAGUGAACUGUAAUGAAUCUGAACCGGAGGAUGUUACACGACCCAAGAUGUUCCGUCAGGCGAAGUCAGAUGCCGUACAAAAGAUUCACGAGUGGACAAAAUAACUUUUCAAAUUAUGAUCGAAAUAGACUGUUCAAAUUCAAAGUGAUUAAUUAAGAGAUUCAAAUUCAAAUUGAUUUAGUGAAUGGACUUUGAAGUUAUUCAGUGAUUAAUUCUUUCUUUUAUGAUACAUAGACUUUAAAGUUAAGUGAUGAAUUAUGAUUUAUGUCUUCAAUUUAAUCAAAUUUUCAUUUCAUUUCUAUUUAUAUUUCACUUUCGGCGCCCGGAGUGUCAAAGAUUCACGACCUUGUUCAAACGUACCCAACGUUACUAUUGUUGACGUAACGUUAUUGUAACGCAAACUUGUAUGGGAUCUGAAUUAUAGA